GUGGGGUGUGUGUGUGCAUGUGUUUAGCUUAGCCCUGGAGCAAACGUCCUUGGCCCGUGGAUGGAGAUAGCCAAGCCUUGAUUUAACCCUUGAUGUUGUCGUACUUUUGUCCUUUAAGGUUUUCAAGCACUCUGGGACUGGCUCUGUGGCCGAGUGGUUAAGUUCGUGUGCUCCGCUUCAGCGGCCCAGGGUUCGGAUCCUGGGCGCGGACAUGGCACCACUCAUUAGGCCAUGUUGAGGCAGCAUCCCACAUGCCACAAAUAGAAGGAUCCACAACUAAAAAAUGUGCAACUAUGUACCGGGAGGAUUUGGGGAGAAAAAAGCAGGAGAAAAAAAAAAAAUAAGAUUUUCAAGCACUGUGGUCCUGGAAGAAGCAGCAAGGGCUAAUGAGGAGCAGGCUGUACUCUGGGAAACAGGAAAUCUGGUUCCAUUAUGACUUCACCAGGGCCAGCCAUGGAAUUCUGAGCAGCUCGUUUGCUGCCCAGUGCUUUGGGUCUCCCUUGGCUACAGAUGCCAUCUGCGCCUUUAAGAUUGAUUCAACAGAAGGGCCCACAAGACUCCACAGCAGGUUACAGACUCACUGAGACGUAUAAAGCAAAGGAUACAGAGCGACAGCAGCAGGAAAAAGACGUGCAUGAAUGGAGCCCAGAGAGGUUCAACACAGACUUCCAAUAUCCUUCGUGGUUCAAGGCCACACAGGAGAACUCCCUCUCACCAUUAACUGUGGGGACAUGUGUGGAAUGCCUUUGCCCAUGGAAGCCUGUUUGAGUCUCAGAGUCCAAGGCUUUUAUGGAGAUCUGGCCACACGGGUAUAUUCUGCCAUGCAACCAGCCACGACAACCAAAACUCACGACCCUCACCAUGAAACCAGGUGCACAUCACUGAUCUUGACGUUUGUACAAAGCAACCUGACAAGCAGGUAUGGCAUGGUCCAUCGCUCCAGUGUAUAUAACAAAACAAUCAAUCACUACCAUAAAGAACACUCUAGGGACCACGUUCCCAGCGGGUGGCCAAUGGUUAAUCAUGG
This 1027-nucleotide long non-coding RNA is filed under the name Equus asinus (donkey). RNAcentral describes it as "lncRNA (ENSEASG00005034299.1)". Lineage: Eukaryota; Metazoa; Chordata; Mammalia; Perissodactyla; Equidae. The record is from RNAcentral.